RNAcentral lists this ribosomal RNA (466 nucleotides) under uncultured bacterium. RNAcentral describes it as "SSU rRNA". It matches the Rfam family "Bacterial small subunit ribosomal RNA", at positions 26 to 518 of the family's 1533-position model. The record is from RNAcentral.
AGAAUCAACGCUGGCGGCGUGCCUAACACAUGCAAGUCGAACGAGAAAGUGGAGCAAUCCAUGAGUAAAGUGGCGACCGGGUGAGUAACACGUGACUAACCUACCUUCGAGUGGGGGAUAACCUCGGGAAACCGAGGCUAAUACCGCAUAACAUCGUGAGAUCAAAGCAGUAAUGCGCUGGAAGAGGGGGUCGCGGCUGAUUAGCUAGUUGGCGGGGUAAUGGCCCACCAAGGCGAAGAUCGGUAGCCGGCCUGAGAGGGCGCGACGGACCGACGACCUGGAACGUGAAACACGGUCCAGACUCCUACGGGAGGCAGCAGUGGGGAAUUUUGCGCAAUGGGGGAAACCCUGACGCAGCAACGCCGCGUGGAGGAUGAAAUCCCUUGGGAUGUAAACUCCUUUCGAUCGGGAAGAUAAUGACGGUACCGGAAGAAGAAGCCCCGGCUAACUUCGUGCCAGCAGCCGC